GACGAACGCUGGCGGCGUGCUUAACACAUGCAAGUCGAACGGAAAGGCCCUGCUUUUGUGGGGCGCUUGAGUGGCGAACGGGGGAGUAACACGCGAGUAACCUGCCCUUGACUUUGGGAUAACUUCAGGAAACUGGGGCUAAUACCGGAUAGGAGCUCCUGCUGCAUGGUGGGGGUUGGAAAGUUUCGGCGGUUGGGGAUGGACUCGCGGCUUAUCAGCUUGUUGGUGGGGUAGUGGCGUACCAAGGCUUUGAAGGGUAGCCGGCCUGAGCGGGUGACCGGCCACAUUGGGACUGCGGUACGGCCCAGACUGCUACGUGAGGCAGCAGUGGGGAGUAUUACGCAAUGGGGGGACGCCUGAUGCAGCAACGCCGGGUGCGGGAUACCGGCCUUCGGGUUAUGAACCGCUUUCGCCUGUGACGAAGCGAGAGUGACGGUAAUGAGUAAAGAAGCACCGGCUAACUACGUG
This 468-nucleotide ribosomal RNA is filed under the name uncultured bacterium. RNAcentral's name for it is "partial 16S ribosomal RNA". It matches the Rfam family "Bacterial small subunit ribosomal RNA", at positions 28 to 507 of the family's 1533-position model. The record is from RNAcentral.